UCGAAGUUUCAAAUAUUUCACAAGAUUCUCUUCAAAAUGAAGAACAGAUUCAAUACAUCGAACUAUCAAAUGUUUCACAGGUUAACCACAAUGAUACGAACAUAAACACCGCUAAAAAU
This is a long non-coding RNA of Rhagoletis pomonella (apple maggot), 119 nucleotides long. RefSeq lists it as uncharacterized. The record is from RefSeq and is a predicted model, not a curated record. NCBI's taxonomy places the organism in Eukaryota, Metazoa, Arthropoda, Insecta, Diptera, Tephritidae. The transcript is spliced from 3 exons.